CCCCCCUCCCCUCCCCCACCGAUGAGGGCUCUGAGGCUGACUCCAGAAAAAAGGAGGUGGGGAAAGAGAGAGACAGAGACAGUGACAAAGAGAGGAGGGAGAGACGGGGAGAAGGGACAAAGAGAAAAAGAGAAGGGAGGAAGAAAAAAGGAAAGAAAAAGGGAGAAGAAGAAAUGGGGGAAGAGAGAAAGUGAGAGGAAAAAGGAAGAGCAGGAAGAGAGAGGCGGGGAGGGACAGGGGCAGACAUCCGCAGCCUGCCAGUAGAAGUCACAGUAAAGCUCCAGCCCCUCGGCUGAGCCUCGGGGCCACCCCCCCCCCACGCCCUGGGCCACAGGUGGCUCUCCCUGGGAACGGCCACACAAACACGGGCAGUUGUUGGGGGGUCACCGUCCCGGAAACGCCCGGGCCGCCCCCUCCCCGCGCAGCUUCCCUCGGCUCCCGGGCCGCGCUCAGGGCUUCCUGAGUCCCUUCCCAUCUGGCCCCGGGCCUUGGGGGCUUCCCGGACCCCUCUCGCCGCCCGGCCUCCCCUCUGCCCCGAGGCUCAGGCAGGACGGAGGCCCAGGCGGCCUCUCAGCAGGGGGGCUUCCCGGCCCCCAGAGUGGCCAGAGGCCGGCCAGUGCCACGCCCGCAGCCCCAGCCUCGGGGUCAGGCGGCCGCGCCCGCUCUGGAACCUGCCAGGCAGGCUGCUGGCCCGCUCCCAGCGUGUGGAAGGGCACGGUUCCCACCUGCAGCAGCCUCCCUCCCGGCCGCCCACCGGCCCGACCCCAGAACACAACACAAGGGCCCGGCUCGGGGGUCUCGGGGACCCUCUUGUCGGCCCCUCCCACCAGAGGGCUAGCUGGUGGCAAGCAGGGCAGGGGCAGAGCCGCCGGGCCCCCGUGGUCCCCUGCGCCCCGGCCUGGCCCCUCUGGCGCCCCCCCCCCCAAGUCUGGGCCCCGUGGCCGGGGGUCAGCGGCUCACAAUUGUCUGGAGGCAGGUGCCUGCUAGCCCCUCUCCCCGCUGGGGCCUCCCCCGGCCUCCAGCACCUCCCCACAGGACGGAGGCUCCCAGGGGGCCCACGGGGAAGGUGAGGGGCCCCCACCCCGGGCCCUUUGCCCCAGCCC
RNAcentral lists this long non-coding RNA (1103 nucleotides) under Sarcophilus harrisii (Tasmanian devil). Its description in RNAcentral is "lncRNA (ENSSHAG00000024107.1)". Lineage: Eukaryota; Metazoa; Chordata; Mammalia; Dasyuromorphia; Dasyuridae. The record is from RNAcentral.